GAUGAACGCUGGCGGCGUGCUUAACACAUGCAAGUCGAGCGAACGGACCAGAAGCUUGCUUCUCUGAUGUUAGCGGCGGACGGGUGAGUAACACGUGGAUAACCUACCUAUAAGACUGGGAUAACUUCGGGAAACCGGAGCUAAUACCGGAUAAUAUUUUGAACCGCAUGGUUCAAAAGUGAAAGACGGUCUUGCUGUCACUUAUAGAUGGAUCCGCGCUGCAUUAGCUAGUUGGUAAGGUAACGGCUUACCAAGGCAACGAUGCAUAGCCGACCUGAGAGGGGGAUCGGCCACACUAGAACGGAGACACGGUCCAGACGCCUACGGGAGGCAGCAGUAGGGAAUCGUCCGCAAUAGGCGGAAGCCUGACGGAGCAACGCCGCGUGAGCGAUGAAGGUCUUCGGAGCGUAAAGCUCUGUUAUUAGGGAAGAACAUAUGUGUAAGUAACUGUGCACAUCUUGACGGUACCGGAUCAGAAAGCCACGGCUAACUACGUG
This 497-nucleotide ribosomal RNA is filed under the name uncultured bacterium. RNAcentral's name for it is "partial 16S ribosomal RNA". It matches the Rfam family "Bacterial small subunit ribosomal RNA", at positions 28 to 507 of the family's 1533-position model. The record is from RNAcentral.